AACGAACGCUGGCGGCGCGCCUAAUACAUGCAAGUCGAGCGAGAAGACGUAGCAAUACGUUUGUAAAGCGGCGAACGGGUGAGGAAUACAUGGGUAACCUACCCUCGAGUGGGGAAUAACUAGCCGAAAGGUUAGCUAAUACCGCGUACGCUCCUUGGACUUCGGUUCAGGGAGGAAAGCGAUACCGUGGGUAUCGCGCUCUUGGAUGGGCUCAUGUCCUAUCAGCUUGUUGGUGAGGAACGGCUCACCAAGGCUUCGACGGGUAGCUGGUCUGAGAGGACGAUCAGCCACACUGGCACUGCGACACGGGCCAGGACUCCUACGGGAGGCAGCAGUAAGGAAUAUUGCGCAAUGGGCGAAAGCCUGACGCAGCGACGCCGCGUGGGGGAUGAAGGUCUUCGG
Molecule: ribosomal RNA, 402 nt
Filed under: uncultured bacterium
Lineage: Bacteria
Description: bacterial SSU rRNA
Rfam family: Bacterial small subunit ribosomal RNA
Source: RNAcentral